Molecule: RNA transcript, 3302 nt
Organism: Solea senegalensis (Senegalese sole)
Lineage: Eukaryota; Metazoa; Chordata; Actinopteri; Pleuronectiformes; Soleidae
Gene name: tumor necrosis factor receptor superfamily member 14-like
Exons: 3
Source: RefSeq, a predicted model, not a curated record
AUCUGGGGGGUGUUUGUUUGUCUGCGUUUGUUGGUUUGUGUGUGUAGCAUCCGGCGUGAGUGGUUCUGACUGUUGCCACGGAGUGAGUAGUACACGCUAAUUUGCUAGUAGCUUACCAUAGCGGCUAGCCGCUACUACCGGUGUAAUGGCGAGUGGGUCGGCGUUCAGUGUGGAGGAGUUUGUGGCGAAGCCUACGCUGAGUCAACUAGACAUCUGUAGGAAGGCUGAUUUAUUUGCGAUUGCUGACCGCUAUGACAUUAAGGUUACAACUUCUCUCCUUAAGAAGGAGUUGAAAGCUGCCGUGGUUGACGGAUUAGUGGAAGGGGGUGUGUGUGGUUUACCGGCGACUGUGCCCGAGUCCGCAGGGGAGGUGCGCUCCGAGGCUCGGGGGGCGGAAGCGACUCAGCGGCAGCGAGACAUUUUGAACAUUACCCCCGGUGUAAAACAUGGUAACAUGGACGAGAAGCAGUUUACGUUGCCGCGUUUUGAACCGUUGUCCGUGGAAACGACCCCUGGAUCGAGAAUAGAUGCGCGGAUAAAGCUGCGUUUAGCUCGUCUCCAGCUGGAGAACGAGGAACGGGAACGGAAGCGUGAGUUUCAGCUCAAGUUGAAGCGGAUGGAAUUGGACGCAGAGACCGCGGUCAAAAUGCGAAAGCUGGAACUACAGUCUAGCUCAGUUUCGUCUGGUGCGCGGUCGUCUUCGUCAUCUACAACAUUUGACGUGAGUAAAAACGUUUCUUUGGUCCCCGUCUUCCGGGAGUCCGAAGUUGAAUGUUAUCUCGGUGCGUUUGAGCGCAUUGCUGCUGCCCUGCACUGGCCGAAGGAUGUGUGGCCGAUACUUUUACAAUGCAAACUCACGGGUAAAGCUCCGGAAGCUUGCGCUUCUCUUUCUGUGGAGGAUGGCCUCUCUUAUGAAAAAGUAAAGAGCGCGAUACUGCAAGUAUAUGAGCUGGUGCCUGAGGCGUAUAGACAGCGUUUCCGCGGUCUGAGAAAAACAGCAAGCCAGACGUACGCUGACUUUGCCAGAGAGAAGGGGAUGCUGUUUGACAGGUGGUGCUCAUCUUGUAAGGCAGAUAACUUCAAUUCAGUACGUGAGUUAAUGUUGUUGGAGGAAUUUAAAAACCAAGUGCCGGAGCGAACUGUUUAUUUAAAUGAGCAGAAGGUAUCUACUUUGCAGCAAGCUGCUAUUCUUGCUGAUGAGUUUGCUCUUACCCACAGAAGCCCCUUUAUCAGACGUGAUUCCCCUACUCAACAUGAAACUGCUUUUAGGUCCAGUGACACGCGUGUUCCACGUUUUAGUACAUCAGUCUCUGCACCUAAGGCAGAUAAGCAAUGUUUUUUCUGUCAUAAAGCUGACCAUCUAAUUGCGGACUGCAAUGCGUGGAAACGUAAGCAGCAGGCGGCAAUUUCAAAGCCCAAGGGUGUGGGGCUGGUAAAAACAGUAACCGGUUGUUCACCGUCGCCCAGUCAAACAGUACCUGAUGAGUGUUUUAAACCUUUCAUUUUCCCUGCAUUUGUCUCGCUCACAGGAAAGGUGGAUGAUCAGCGUCCUGUCACAGUUUUGCGAGACACUGGUGGCUCCCAGUCAUUCAUUCUUUCCUCUGUACUGCCCUUGAGUACGGAGUCUGCCUGUGACACGAGCGCAAUUGUACGAGGUAUCGGGAUGAGAGAGGCCAACCAGGGGGAGCAGGAAAAAACUCCGGAGACUGCUGCCCCUCGUGAAACAACUACCUCCUUGGUUUGUGUGGAAUCACUGCCUGACGAUGGGUUAACUGUACUAGGAAGUGAUCAGCAGAGUGGUAGGCUGUCUAACACAGAGUUCUUCGCGAAAAUAGACACCCAUUUGAACUAUCUCCCUGUAGAUCAGCAACAAGAUAUAGUCUCUUUGAUGCGCUCCCAUCCGUCCCUGUUUAAUGAUGUACCAUCUAGCACCAACGUACUAAAACAUGACAUCGAUGUUGGUAGUGCGUCUCCCAUUAAACAGCAUGCGUACUGAUGUCCUUUAGCCAAAAGAGAGCUUAUGAAAAAGGAAGCUAGUUACCUAUUGGAAAACGGUUUAGCUGUACCUAGCUGUAGUCCUUGGAGUUCCCCUUGUUUGCUGGCUCCAAAAUCUGAUGGCACCCCACGCUUUUGUACCGACUAUCGGAAGGUUAACGCAGUUACAGUGCCAGACUCAUUUCCCUUGCCUCGCAUGGAGGACUGUAUUGAUAGUAUUGGGCCGGCCAUGUUUAUUACAAAGCUCGAUCUGCUGAAAGGGUACUGGCAGGUUCCAUUAACACCCAGAGCCUCUGAGAUUUCGGCCUUUGUAACCCCAGACCACUUCUUACAGUAUACCGUUAUGCCAUUUGGAGUGAGAAAUGCGCCUGCCACGUUUCAGCGUCUAAUGUGUCAAGUGCUAGGAAAUGUCAAGAACUGUGUCUACCUAGAUGAUGUCGUUGUGUACUCAGCCGAUUGGGCCAGUCACAUUACUAGCUUAACGGAAGUGUUUCAGAGACUUGAAGAGGCGGCCUUAACUCUUAACCUAGCCAAGUGCGAGUUCGGUAAAGUGAUGGUUACGUACUUGGGAAAACAGGUUGGCCACGGGCAGGUCCGGCCCGUGGAUGCUAAGGUCUCAGCCGUGCUGUCCUACCCGGUUCCCAUGUCAAGGCGUGAAUUACGGCGUUUCUUAGGCAUGGCUGGUUAUUACCGGUGUUUUUGUAAAAACUUCUCUGUGGUAGUUAACCCUUUAACCAGUCUGUGUAGUCCCAAGGUUCCUUUUGUAUGGAGUACUGAGUGUCAGUAUGCCUUCGAGGCAGCAAAGUCUCUGCUCUGCAGUGCACCUGUCCUGGCCGCACCUAACUUCUCUCGCCCUUUUAAGCUGGAGGUUGAUGCGAGUGCUUCAGGAGCUGGUGCUGUGCUGAUACAGGAUGGAGAGGGUGACGUGUGCCAUCUAGUAUGCUACUUCUCGGUCAAGUUCAAGCACCAUCAACUUAACUACUCCACCAUUGAAAAAGAGACCCUAGCUAUGCUACUUGCACUUCAACAUUUUGAAGUGUAUGUUGGUGCCAGUUCAUCUCCCGUGGUUAUAUACACUGACCAUAACCCUCUUGUCUUUCUUGCACAAAUGUAUAACCACAACCAGCGACUGAUGCGUUGGGCCCUGUUGGCGCAAGGUUACAACCUGGAGAUUAAGCACAAGAAGGGGACCGACAAUGUGGUGGCUGAUGCUCUGUCCCGUGGAUCUUAUAUCUCCCUCCUCAGCACAGAUCUAAUUGAGAUGGUGUCUUCAGCACAAGAAACUCCGCCAAACACUCUGUCAAAAU